UAGCAAAGUUAGCCUUGAGCUCCGCCGCAGUGAGGGUAAAUGCCGGGAGGUUUGGGAUAGCCUCCGACGCCAGCGACGUUCUUCCAUCGAAUCUCCCCGUGGGUAAAUUAUAAUAGAGUCCACUAGUCUGCUCCACAUUAGAAUUUAAAGUUUUAACCGAGGAGUUCUUGCAAAACUUACCAGGAAGAAAGAGUCCCGGGCCGAGAGGGCGAGGACAUCUGCGCACGACACAACGUUUCCACACACGGCGGUGAUGGCGUCUUUGGCUUCGUCGAUGAUCUCG
Molecule: long non-coding RNA, 283 nt
Filed under: Selaginella moellendorffii
Lineage: Eukaryota; Viridiplantae; Streptophyta; Lycopodiopsida; Selaginellales; Selaginellaceae
Description: long non-coding RNA (SMOE_LNC001076)
Source: RNAcentral